GACGAACGCUGGCGGCGUGCUUAACACAUGCAAGUCGAACGGAAAGGCCCUGCUUUUGUGGGGUGCUCGAGUGGCGAACGGGUGAGUAACACGUGUGUAACCUGCCCUUGACUUUGGGAAAACUUCAGGAAACUGGGGCUAAUACCGGAUAGGAGCUCCUGCUGCAUGGUGGGGGUUGGAAAGUUUCGGCGGUUGGGGAUGGACUCGCGGCGUAUCAGCUUGUUGGUGGGGUAGUGGCUUACCAAGGCUUUGACGGGUAGCCGGCCUGAGAGGGUGACCGGCCACAUUGGGACUGAGAUACGGCCCAGACUCCUACGGGAGGCAGCAGUGGGGAAUAUUGCACAAUGGGCGGAAGCCUGAUGCAGCAACGCCGCGUGCGGGAUGACGGCCUUCGGGUUGUAAACCGCUUUCGCCUGUGACGAAGCGUGAGUGACGGUAAUGGGUAAAGAAGCACCGGCUAACUACGUG
RNAcentral lists this ribosomal RNA (468 nucleotides) under uncultured bacterium. RNAcentral describes it as "partial 16S ribosomal RNA". It matches the Rfam family "Bacterial small subunit ribosomal RNA", at positions 28 to 507 of the family's 1533-position model. The record is from RNAcentral.